CCUACGGGAGGCAGCAGUGAGGAAUAUUGGUCAAUGGGCGAGAGCCUGAACCAGCCAAGUCGCGUGAGGGAGUACUGCCCUAUGGGUUGUAAACCUCUUUUGUCGGGGAGCAAAAGCCGGACGUGUCCGGCUGUGAGAGUACCCGAAGAAAAAGCAUCGGCUAACUCCGUGCCAGCAGCCGCGGUAAUACGGAGGAUGCCAGCGUUAUCCGGAUUUAUUGGGUUUAAAGGGUGCGCAGGCGGAUUUUUAAGUCAGCGGUAAAAUCGUGGGGCUCAACCCCAUCCAGCCGUUGAAACUGGGGAUCUAGAGUGUGCGAGAGGUAUGCGGAAUGCGUGGUGUAGCGGUGAAAUGCAUAGAUAUCACGCAGAACCCCGAUUGCGAAGGCAGCAUACCGGUGCACAACUGACGCUCAGGCACGAAAGCGUGGGUAUCGAACAGGAUUAGAUACCCGUGUAGUC
RNAcentral lists this ribosomal RNA (458 nucleotides) under uncultured bacterium. RNAcentral's name for it is "partial 16S ribosomal RNA". It matches the Rfam family "Bacterial small subunit ribosomal RNA", at positions 338 to 795 of the family's 1533-position model. The record is from RNAcentral.